UACGAAGGGUGCAAGCGUUGCUCGGAAUUAUUGGGCGUAAAGCGCACGUAGGCGGCUUGGCAAGUCGGAUGUGAAAUCCCUCGGCUCAACCAAGGAAGUGCAUCCGAAACUGCUGAGCUUGAGUACGAAAGAGGAUCGCGGAAUUCCCGGUGUAGAGGUGAAAUUCGUAGAUAUCGGGAGGAACACCAGUGGCGAAGGCGGCGAUCUGGGUCGAUACUGACGCUGAGGUGCGAAAGCGUGGGGAGCAAACAGG
This 253-nucleotide ribosomal RNA is filed under the name uncultured bacterium. Its description in RNAcentral is "partial 16S ribosomal RNA". It matches the Rfam family "Bacterial small subunit ribosomal RNA", at positions 524 to 776 of the family's 1533-position model. The record is from RNAcentral.